Schistosoma mansoni is the source of this 45-nucleotide non-coding RNA. Lineage: Eukaryota; Metazoa; Platyhelminthes; Trematoda; Strigeidida; Schistosomatidae. The record is from Rfam.
AUCCAGCUGAUGAGUCCCAAAUACGACGAAAUGCGUGUCCUGGAU